GUAGGUGGCAAGCGUUGUCCGGGAAUUAUUGGGGCGUAAAGCGCGCGCAGGCGGUUCUUUAAGUCUGAUGUGAAAGCCCACGGGCUCAACCGUGGGAGGGUCAUUGGAAACUGGAGAACUUGAGUACAGAAGAGGAAAGCGGAAUUCCACGUGUAGCGGUGAAAUGCGUAGAGAUGUGGAGGAACACCAGUGGCGAAGGCGGCUUUCUGGUCUGUAACUGACGCUGAGGCGCGAAAGCGUGGGGAGCAAACAGGAUUAGAUACCCUGGUAGUCCACGCCGUAGACGAUGAGUGCUAAGUGUUAGGGGGUUUCCGCCCCUUAGUGCUGCAGCUAACGCAUUAAGCACUCCGCCUGGGGAGUACGGCCGCAAAGGCUGA
RNAcentral lists this ribosomal RNA (377 nucleotides) under uncultured organism. Its description in RNAcentral is "partial 16S ribosomal RNA". It matches the Rfam family "Bacterial small subunit ribosomal RNA", at positions 527 to 897 of the family's 1533-position model. The record is from RNAcentral.